This 330-nucleotide ribosomal RNA is filed under the name Triticum aestivum (bread wheat). RNAcentral describes it as "partial small subunit ribosomal RNA". The record is from RNAcentral. Lineage: Eukaryota; Viridiplantae; Streptophyta; Magnoliopsida; Poales; Poaceae.
UUAUUGGAUGAUAUAAUCUCUGUUGAACAGAGUGCUUUUAUCCCGGGUAGGAUGAUUACAGAUAAUGCUCUGGUUGCUUUUGAGUGUUUACACUAUAUUAAACAGGAGAAAGACCCCACAAGGAGUUUUUGUGCUUAUAAGCUGGAUCUGUCAAAAGCUUAUGAUCGGGUGGAUUGGGUUUUCUUGGAGCAAGUGAUGCAAAAGUUAGGGUUCUCUCAGCGAUGGAUUGACUGGAUAAUGGUGUGUGUCACAUCGGUGAAGUACUCAGUAAAAUUAAAUGGAACUCUCUUGGAUUCAUUUGCACCGUCGCGAGGGGCUGCGGCAAGGUGA